Molecule: ribosomal RNA, 253 nt
Filed under: uncultured bacterium
Lineage: Bacteria
Description: partial 16S ribosomal RNA
Rfam family: Bacterial small subunit ribosomal RNA
Source: RNAcentral
UACGGAGGGUGCAAGCGUUAUCCGGAUUCACUGGGUUUAAAGGGUGCGUAGGUGGGUUGGUAAGUCAGUGGUGAAAUCUCCGAGCUUAACUUGGAAACUGCCAUUGAUACUAUCAGUCUUGAAUAUUGUGGAGGUCAGCGGAAUAUGUCAUGUAGCGGUGAGAUGCUUAGAUAUGACAUAGAACACCAAUUGCGAAGGCAGCUGGCUACACAUAUAUUGACUCUGAGGCACGAAAGCGUGGGGAUCAAACAGG